UCGGCUUCCGGCCUUUGCUAAGAUCAAGUGUAGUAUUCUUUCUUAUCAGUUUAAUAUUGAUACGUCCCGCUAUCUGGGACCAAUACUAUUAAAUGGAUUUUGGGAACAGGGAGAUGGAAGAAGAGCUUUGCCCUGUCCACAUCACGCAUCGACCUAGGUAAUUUGGCCACGUACCUCCAGACCGGUGCACCCUCU
This is a small nuclear RNA of Xenopus tropicalis (tropical clawed frog), 195 nucleotides long. Its record names the gene U2. It matches the Rfam family "U2 spliceosomal RNA". Rfam says of the family: U2 is a small nuclear RNA (snRNA) component of the spliceosome (involved in pre-mRNA splicing). Complementary binding between U2 snRNA (in an area lying towards the 5' end but 3' to hairpin I) and the branchpoint sequence (BPS) of the intron results the bulging out of an unpaired adenosine, on the BPS, which initiates a nucleophilic attack at the intronic 5' splice site, thus starting the first of two transesterification reactions that mediate splicing. The record is from Ensembl. Lineage: Eukaryota; Metazoa; Chordata; Amphibia; Anura; Pipidae.